UGGGGAAUUUUGGACAAUGGGCGCAAGCCUGAUCCAGCCAUGCCGCGUGCGGGAAGAAGGCCUUCGGGUUGUAAACCGCUUUUGUCAGGGAAGAAAUCUUCUGAGUUAAUACCUCGGGAGGAUGACGGUACCUGAAGAAUAAGCACCGGCUAACUACGUGCCAGCAGCCGCGGUAAUACGUAGGGUGCAAGCGUUAAUCGGAAUUACUGGGCGUAAAGCGUGCGCAGGCGGUUUUGUAAGACAGAGGUGAAAUCCCCGGGCUCAACCUGGGAACUGCCUUUGUGACUGCAAGGCUUGAGUGCGGCAGAGGGGGGAUGGAAUUCCGCGUGUAGCAGUGAAAUGCGUAGAUAUGCGGAGGAACACCGAUGGCGAAGGCAAUCCCCUGGGCCUGCACUGACGCUCAUGCACGAAAGCGUGGGGAGCAAACAGGAUUAGAUACCCUGGUAGUCACGCCCUAAACGAUGUCAACUGGUUGUUGGGAAGGUUCCUUCUCAGUAACGUAGCUAACGCGUGAAGUUGACCGCCUGGGGAGUACGGCCGCAAGGUUGAAAC
Molecule: ribosomal RNA, 552 nt
Filed under: uncultured bacterium
Lineage: Bacteria
Description: partial 16S ribosomal RNA
Rfam family: Bacterial small subunit ribosomal RNA
Source: RNAcentral